This 353-nucleotide unclassified non-coding RNA is filed under the name soil metagenome. RNAcentral describes it as "partial contains 5.8S ribosomal RNA, internal transcribed spacer 2, and large subunit ribosomal RNA". The stretch from base 1 to 120 matches the Rfam family "5.8S ribosomal RNA", at positions 35 to 154 of the family's 154-position model. The record is from RNAcentral.
GAUGAAGAACGUAGCGAAAUGCGAUAAGUAGUGUGAAUUGCAGAAUUCAGUGAAUCAUCGAAUCUUUGAACGCACAUUGCGCCUCCUGGUAUUCCGGGAGGCAUGCCUGUUCGAGCGUCAUCAAAAUCACUCAAGCUUAGGUUUACCUAUUGCUUGGUCUUGGAGAUGGAAGCCAAUUUAUUGGAAUCCUCUUCGAAAUUCAAUGGCGAAGACCCUUGCUCUCCCAAGUGUAGUAAUAACUUAUGUCACUGAAGGAAGCGAGAAAUCUUCUGCCGUAACCCCCAUAUUUUCUAUGAUUGACCUCGGAUCAGGUAGGGAUACCCGCUGAACUUAAGCAUAUCAAUAAGCGGAGA